RNAcentral lists this non-coding RNA (46 nucleotides) under Schistosoma mansoni. The record is from RNAcentral. Lineage: Eukaryota; Metazoa; Platyhelminthes; Trematoda; Strigeidida; Schistosomatidae.
GCAUUGCUGAGGAGUCCCAUAAUAGGACGAAACGGCCGUUCAAUGC